CUGCCGUUACCAGGAUUGCAGUCGGUUCUAGAGCUGAAUCGGUUAUAACUGCUCCAGGCUCAUAGGUUUCUCAACCUCCGCCACCGGUUAUAGACAUUUCCUUUUAAUUCCCCUUCCAAGCAGGCUGAAGGCCUGAGAGAGGACUGUCCCACGACUUCUCCCGUCUGGUCCUGAAGUCUGUCUCCAGGAUGAAGAUUUUCAACUCGGACAGGAAAGGGCAGUCUACAUCGCGCUCCUUCGCUAUCUGGCGGAAUCACUUCGAAGCCCCAGAGUCCGACUCUAACGCUGGAUACCUGAUCCAGGAAAAGAACCUCUGGAAGCUCCACAAAGCUACCUCGAUCGGGGACAUGGCGAAAGUGCAGCAGCUGCUGCUGCGAGGAAAGCACAACGUGAAUGAUACUCUGGAUAAAGUGAAGAGGCCUGAGCUAACCCUCGGAAAAUGACAGCAAGUCCCGAAAGCCGGCGUCACCUCUCCCUCCUGCCUGUCCAUUUAUAAUGAAUGGGAAACUCUUUUCUACUUUUAGCCGGGGUCCAACUUUACCUAUACUUAAUCAGUGGCGACGUGGGAGCAAAUACUAUUCUCUUUUGCUGAAAUGUUGUCACGUCUAAAACGACUGCUUGAGGAGAAUUUAAUUGGCAAAGUUGCUGAACUGGUUUGUCAUUUCCUUCUUAAGUUCAUUUUGACAAAAGAGGAAACUGAGGCAAACCAGGUUACGUGAUCUGCCAGGGUCACAUAACUAAGAGAUAUCAUGAUUGCUGUCAGGAGUGAAUCACCAGGUGUAGUCAGUUUUCUUCUUGAAUAUGAUAUGAUUUCUCUUGCCAAAAUACAUGGAUGGAAAGCCAAAGAGUGUGCUAUUGUCAGUGAUUAUUCUAGAAGGAAUGCAGUCAGCACCUUUCACUUCACAUCAGCUGUUCCAGUACUGGAUUUACUUUGGAUGGACCUGCCUUGGACAAAGAAGGGAAAAGGACAGAUGACUGCAGAUGCUCUUGAGGAACUUAAUCAUGUGACACAGGUACAUAAGAUUAUGAUUUGGCUCCCUCAAAUUAUAAGAAUAUUAUGUUAUUGGUUGAGCAACUUAUUGUUGUUUAAAGGUAAGAAUAUUUUUAAAUUUUCUAACAGAAUACCAACAUUAAACAGAAACAUAUCUUGUGUUUAUAUCCAAGAAGAGAUCACUGAAGUCUUAUUCCAUUGAUCGUGACUUUGGGUUCUUGGAGACUCUAAUAUUGGAGUCUAAUCUCUGGCAAACCUCACCAAGCUAAAAGGAUUAUGUUUGAUUCAGGCUGAAAGGAUUAUGUUUGGAUCAGGCUGAUGAUUUUUCAGCCAUAGAAGUUCUCAAGAAUGAUCUACUAUUUGUUUCAAUGCAGAAAGAAUUAAGUACCUACUAUGAGCCAAAUAAACAAAAUUUAGAAAAGACACAUUCCUGAGCCAAGAUGGCAGAGUGAA
Sarcophilus harrisii (Tasmanian devil) is the source of this 1444-nucleotide long non-coding RNA. RefSeq lists it as uncharacterized. The record is from RefSeq and is a predicted model, not a curated record. NCBI's taxonomy places the organism in Eukaryota, Metazoa, Chordata, Mammalia, Dasyuromorphia, Dasyuridae. The transcript has 5 exons.